GAACAAGGGAAUAAUGAAAAAGAAGGAAAAGAGCUCCUUUCUGAAAAGGAUGACCCAGAUGGGGAUUUCAAUUUUCUAAUGGAAGUUCAGGCCCAAGACUAAACUAAAUUAAGGCAGAAGUUGAAGGAAGUGCAAGAUGCUGCCUGCAUGCUCCAUGAGAAUCUCAGCAACUACCUUGCUGAAGAUAACCAGCACAGACACCAGGUGCACGGACACAGAAACAAACUUGCUGAGUGGUGCAAGAUGGCCAAGUGCCUUGCCCAUAAACUUAGCCCAGAUAAUCUGGGUGAUAAGGAUGAAGAUGAUCAGAUAACCCUGGACUCCAGGUGAGA
Long non-coding RNA from Fukomys damarensis (Damara mole-rat), 332 nucleotides. RefSeq lists it as uncharacterized. Lineage: Eukaryota; Metazoa; Chordata; Mammalia; Rodentia; Bathyergidae. The record is from RefSeq and is a predicted model, not a curated record. The transcript has 3 exons.